AGCGAACGCUGGCGGCAGGCCUAACACAUGCAAGUCGAACGGACCCUUCGGGGUUAGUGGCGGACGGGUGAGUAACACGUGGUAACGUGCCUUUAGGUUCGGAAUAGCUCCUGGAAACGGGUGGUAAUGGCGCAUGGGCCCUUCGGGGGGAAGAUUUAUCGCCUUUAGAGCGGCCCGCGUCUGAUUAGCUAGUUGGUGAGGUAAUGGCUCACCAAGGCGACGAUCAGUAGCUGGUCUGAGAGGAUGACCAGCCACAUUGGGAAUGAGACACGGCCCAAACUCCUACGGGAGGCAGCAGUGGGGAAUCUUGCGCAAUGGGCGAAAGCCUGACGCAGCCAUGCCGCGUGGAUGAUGAAGGUCUUAGGAUUGUAAAAUCCUUUCACCGGUGAAGAUAAUGACUGUAGCCGGAGAAGAAGCCCCGGCUAACUUCGUGCCAGCCGCCGCCGUAA
Molecule: ribosomal RNA, 449 nt
Filed under: uncultured bacterium
Lineage: Bacteria
Description: partial 16S ribosomal RNA
Rfam family: Bacterial small subunit ribosomal RNA
Source: RNAcentral